Molecule: ribosomal RNA, 254 nt
Filed under: uncultured bacterium
Lineage: Bacteria
Description: partial 16S ribosomal RNA
Rfam family: Bacterial small subunit ribosomal RNA
Source: RNAcentral
UACGGAGGGGGCUAGCGUUGUUCGGAUUUACUGGGCGUAAAGGGCGCGUAGGCGGCCAGCACAAGUCAGUUGUGAAAUCUCCGAGCUUAACUCGGAAAGGUCAACUGAUACUGUGCGGCUAGAGUGCGGAAGGGGCAACUGGAAUUCUUGGUGUAGCGGUGAAAUGCGUAGAUAUCAAGAGGAACACCUGCGGCGAAGGCGGGUUGCUGGGCCGACACUGACGCUGAGGCGCGAAAGCUAGGGGAGCGAACGGG